This 76-nucleotide transfer RNA is filed under the name Desulfonatronum sp. Its description in RNAcentral is "tRNA-Ala". It matches the Rfam family "tRNA". From Rfam's summary of the family: Transfer RNA (tRNA) molecules are approximately 80 nucleotides in length. Their secondary structure includes four short double-helical elements and three loops (D, anti-codon, and T loops). The record is from RNAcentral. Lineage: Bacteria; Pseudomonadati; Thermodesulfobacteriota; Desulfovibrionia; Desulfovibrionales; Desulfonatronaceae.
GGGGGCGUGGCUCAGCUGGGAGAGCGCUGCCUUCGCAAGGCAGAGGUCGGGGGUUCGAAUCCCCCCGUCUCCACCA